This 255-nucleotide ribosomal RNA is filed under the name uncultured bacterium. Its description in RNAcentral is "partial 16S ribosomal RNA". It matches the Rfam family "Bacterial small subunit ribosomal RNA", at positions 524 to 776 of the family's 1533-position model. The record is from RNAcentral.
UACAGAGGGUGCGAGCGUUAAUCGGAAUUACUGGGCGUAAAGCGCACGUAGGCGGCCAGAUAAGUCCGGUGUGAAAGUCACAGGCUCAACCUGUGAAUGCCGCUGGAAACUGUCUGGCUUGAGUCCGGAAGGGGCGAGUGGAAUUCCUGGUGUAGCGGUGAAAUGCGCAGAUAUCAGGAGGAACACCAAUGGCGAAGGCAGCUCGCUGGAACGGUACUGACGCUGGAGGCGCGAAAAGCGUGGGGAGCGAACAGG